RNAcentral lists this ribosomal RNA (460 nucleotides) under uncultured bacterium. Its description in RNAcentral is "partial 16S ribosomal RNA". It matches the Rfam family "Bacterial small subunit ribosomal RNA", at positions 338 to 795 of the family's 1533-position model. The record is from RNAcentral.
CCUACGGGAGGCAGCAGUGAGGAAUAUUGGUCAAUGGGCGUAAGCCUGAACCAGCCAAGUCGAGUGAGGGAUGAAGGUUCUAUGGAUCGUAAACCUCUGUUAUAAGGGAAUAAAGUGUGGGACGUGUCCUAUUUUGUAUGUACCUUAUGAAUAAGGAUCGGCUAACACCGUGCACGCAGCCGCGGUAAUACGGAGGAUCCGAGCUUUAUCCGGAUUUAUUGGGUUUAAAGGUUGCGUAGGCGGCCUUUUAAGUCAGCGGUGAAAUUCUGUGGCUCAACCAUAGAAUUGCCGUUGAAACUGGGGGGCUGGAGGAUGUUUGAGGCAGGCGGAAUGCGUGGUGUAGCGGUGAAAUGCUUAGAUAUCACGCAGAACCCCGAUUGCGAAGGCAGCCUGCCAAGCCAUGACUGACGCUGAUGCACGAAAGCGUGGGGAUCAAACAGGAUUAGAUACCCUUGUAGUC